Hyla sarda is the source of this 379-nucleotide long non-coding RNA. RefSeq lists it as uncharacterized. Lineage: Eukaryota; Metazoa; Chordata; Amphibia; Anura; Hylidae. The transcript has 3 exons. The record is from RefSeq and is a predicted model, not a curated record.
GACGGUGCCAAUCACUGACUGAGCUUUGGAAGACUCUGGGAAAGCUAAGUUCAGCAAAGACUGGCCCACAGACAGGGGCACCCUUAUACCGGAGGGUACGAGGAAGCUACCCUCCAGAUUUGCACACAGCAUCCCCUCCCAUUGACAGCUGUAGGCAUUAGUGGAGGUCAGAUAGAUGACAGAGGAAGAACUCUCUCCUACUGCAAAGAAGUUUAAAUGGGUGACCUUUCUUGCCAUACACAAAGUACCACUAAAGAAUGCCCCACAAUACAGCUUCAAUUGAGAGACCAGGAAAUGGAUGUCCGGGGACUAGCAGACAGCAAAGAAUAAAAGAGGCAACUGAUUUCUACAAUGGAGGACUAUAUGUAUCAUUUAAAGG